UGUUUAUACAUCACUUUUAAAUUUACACAAUAGUAAAUUGGUUGAAAUAUAAAAAUUUAUAAAAUUUUUAUUAAAAAUAUAAAGUAAAUUAAUAAUAUAAAAAGGUUUAAGUUAAUAAAUAACUGUUUUAUUAAGAAAUGAGGAUAAUCCGAUGUCCCAGCAUCAGCGGUUAAACAUGGUUCAAUUUUUAUUUAUUCCAUUAAUAAAUUAACUUCCAAGACAAACAUGUUUCUUAAAGGGUCCAAUCUAAAAUAAUAAAUGAAAUAGAAAAAAUUUAAGUAAAUUUUUUAAAACUAGGAUUAGAUACCCUAUUAUAAAAUUUAAAUUUGGUGUUUGGAAGAAUUAAAUCAAGAUUUAUGGCGGCUGUUAUUCAAAUUAGAGACUUAUGAGAAAAAAAGAUUAUACACUAAAAUCUUACUUUUUUUAGUUUUAUCAUUUUUUAUAUCGCCGUCCAAAGAAAAACAGAAAAAAAUUUUUCUUUAGUAGUUAAAGUAUUACAAACUAGGUCAGGUAAAGAUGAAGAUUAUAAAUAAGUGAAUUAACCUUGUAAGUCAGUAAUAUAUGAGAAUAUAAAAUUUUAAAAAUUUUUUAAAAGAAUUUAAAAGUAAAAAAAUUUUAAUAUGAUUUUUUGAAAUUUGUUAAUAGCAGCGUACAAACCGCCCGUCACUUCCAAUAAAAUGGAAUAAGUCGUAACAAGGUUAAUUUACCGGAAGGUGAAUUAA
This 722-nucleotide non-coding RNA is filed under the name Liposcelis sculptilimacula. Lineage: Eukaryota; Metazoa; Arthropoda; Insecta; Psocodea; Liposcelididae. The record is from RNAcentral.